RNAcentral lists this ribosomal RNA (496 nucleotides) under uncultured bacterium. Its description in RNAcentral is "partial 16S ribosomal RNA". It matches the Rfam family "Bacterial small subunit ribosomal RNA", at positions 29 to 507 of the family's 1533-position model. The record is from RNAcentral.
AUGCACGCUGGCGGCGUGCCUAAUACAUGCAAGUCGAGCGAACGGACGAGAAGCUUGCUUCUCUGAUGUUAGCGGCGGACGGGUGAGUAACACGUGGAUAACCUACCUAUAAGACUGGGAUAACUUCGGGAAACCGGAGCUAAUACCGGAUGAUAUUUUGAACCGCAUGGUUCAAAAGUGAAAGACGGUCUUGCUGUCACUUAUAGAUGGAUCCGCGCUGCAUUAGCUAGUUGGUAAGGUAACGGCUUACCAAGGCAACGAUGCAUAGCCGACCUGAGAGAGUGAUCGGCCACACUGGAACUGAGACACGGUCCAGACUCCUACGGGAGGCAGCAGUAGGGAAUCUUCCGCAAUGGGCGAAAGCCUGACGGAGCAACGCCGCGUGAGUGAUGAAGGUCUUCGGAUCGUAAAACUCUGUUAUUAGGGAAGAACAUAUGUGUAAGUAACUGUGCACAUCUUGACGGUACCUAAUCAGAAAGCCACGGCUAACUACGUG